This 467-nucleotide long non-coding RNA is filed under the name Capsicum annuum. Its description in RNAcentral is "long non-coding RNA (CANN_LNC019767)". Lineage: Eukaryota; Viridiplantae; Streptophyta; Magnoliopsida; Solanales; Solanaceae. The record is from RNAcentral.
UGCUAUAAGUUAAACAGUAAAAUAGAGAUAAAGAUCCAAUUGAACAAAUAAAUGAAUUUACGGAGAAGUUAAAAGAAAGUAUUAACAACUACCAACUGCCACCCUUUAAGUAAAUCUACAACCUAAAUAACCAAAAAACAAAUAGAGUAAUGACUAAGCUAAGAGAGUCGAUCAUGCUUCAGACCCUUGAUGAUGAGUGCUUCGAAGACUUGGUAUUCUGAAGAGCGUGAGCCCUUUGUCAAAGCAUUCAUCUGAAAUACUUGAAACGGCUUUGCAACAUUGUGUGGAUAAUGAAACUUUACCUUUGAUAAAAGAAGUGAUCAAACCCGGUACACAACCAUUAACCUUGAUAGGAACCAUAGCGCAAGAAGUCGGUGGAGCAGCAUGUGGUGGCUGAGUCGUGUGCGGUGACCAAAAUCACAUCAUCUGCAUGUUUCACCGAAAAAUAAUGGAGGAGAAUAUAAAAU